CUAACUUGAAUGGCAACCCUGAGCACAUUCCAGGAGGUGACACCGCUGCAAAAAUAGUUGCAUUUACUACACUAAAUCAUGACGACAUACAUUUCACGGAGGAGGAUCUCCUGUAAGUGGAUCACAUUGUAAGCAGUUUUCAAUCAAUGAAAUGCACGAGUACGUUAUAGGUAAAAUUAUCAUCGUUACGUAGUUCUAUUUGAAAAGAUAACAGGCAUCUUUUUUUCAGUACAAAUUAUGUACAACUGAAGCUGGACCCUCAAAAAUAUACUAACAUGGCAGCCCCGUAAACAACGUGUAAGAGGUUCAAAGUUUAUACAUUUUUUUGGGAAAGCUAACUUUAUAUUGAUUACUCAGACAAAACAUAUUCAUGAAAACAAGCACUAAUGCAAUAUUCAAUCCAUGCCAGGUAAAUACAAUUUUGAGUUCAUAUUCAUUACCAGGAAAGCAAUCUAUUUAUGCUCUAUUGAUAAAAAUGACCCGUUGCAUUCUUAUUAAACAAUGAAAAAAACAUAAACUUUGUGAUUUGCCGUUGUGACUGCGUAUGCAACAUGAAUUCCAUGUUGGGAAAACAUUAGAAUCUGACAUACUGUGUGAUGAUUAUGAGGCGGCCGACUGUGGUAAUCUCAAAAAAUUGAUUUCAGACACAAGAAUGUAUCAUAUACAGGAAUUGAAAUAUAAAGUAUUUAUAGGUAGAGUUAAAAUGAACACUAAUACAUACCUCGUGAUACAAUUAUAAUCUUGAUAGUGUUUUUCAAUUUUGCAAUAUGCAUGUCGAUCGAUUUCAGAAGAUUGAUAUGACUAGAAUUCGUGUUUCAGAUGCCGUAAUGUAUUUUGCA
RNAcentral lists this long non-coding RNA (839 nucleotides) under Olea europaea (common olive). RNAcentral's name for it is "long non-coding RNA (OEUR_LNC002857)". The record is from RNAcentral. Lineage: Eukaryota; Viridiplantae; Streptophyta; Magnoliopsida; Lamiales; Oleaceae.